Molecule: ribosomal RNA, 402 nt
Filed under: uncultured bacterium
Lineage: Bacteria
Description: bacterial SSU rRNA
Rfam family: Bacterial small subunit ribosomal RNA
Source: RNAcentral
UGGGGAAUAUUGGACAAUGGGCGAAAGCCUGAUCCAGCCAUGCCGCGUGAGUGAUGGAGGCCCUAGGGUUGUAAAGCUCUUUUGUGCGGGAAGAUAAUGACGGUACCGCAAGAAUAAGCCCCGGCUAACUUCGUGCCAGCAGCCGCGGUAAUACGAAGGGGGCUAGCGUUGCUCGGAAUCACUGGGCGUAAAGGGUGCGUAGGCGGGUUUCUAAGUCAGAGGUGAAAGCCUGGAGCUCAACUCCAGAACUGCCUUUGAUACUGGAAGUCUUGAGUUCGGGAGAGGUGAGUCGAACUGCGAGUGUAGAGGUGAAAUUCGUAGAUAUUCGCAAGAACACCAGUGGCGAAGGCGGCUCACUGGCCCGAUACUGACGCUGAGGCACGAAAGCGUGGGGAGCAAACA